GGAUGUGAGGGCGACAUCUGUCACCCCAUUGAUCACCAGAGUCGAUUGGGCUGAUCUGGCUGGCUGAGGGGGUGUCUGCUUCCUCCCUCACCGCUCCUUGUGCGUCCCUUCUGAAGCUCUGUUGAAGGGGAUGCCCUUCUCCGAAUAGGGGAGGACCCCAGUCUUCAGUCAAGGGUAUGCACAGCUGUGAUCCUCUGCUAGAACCUCCAAACUGCCAGGCUGGACUCCAAGAACAUCCCAUGGAUUGCUAAUGCAUUGUACCUUUUUUUUUUUGCAUUUGCUAAUGAAGCAUUUUCUGGACUAUUCUUA
This 309-nucleotide small nuclear RNA is filed under the name Jaculus jaculus (lesser Egyptian jerboa). Its description in RNAcentral is "7SK RNA (ENSJJAG00000003479.1)". It matches the Rfam family "7SK RNA". Rfam says of the family: 7SK was discovered as an abundant small nuclear RNA in the mid-70s but a possible function has only recently been suggested. The record is from RNAcentral. Lineage: Eukaryota; Metazoa; Chordata; Mammalia; Rodentia; Dipodidae.